Molecule: ribosomal RNA, 402 nt
Filed under: uncultured bacterium
Lineage: Bacteria
Description: bacterial SSU rRNA
Rfam family: Bacterial small subunit ribosomal RNA
Source: RNAcentral
UGGGGAAUAUUGGACAAUGGGCGCAAGCCUGAUCCAGCCAUGCCGCGUGAGUGAUGAAGGCCUUAGGGUUGUAAAGCUCUUUUAGCAGGGAAGAUAAUGACGGUACCUGCAGAAAAAGCCCCGGCUAACUUCGUGCCAGCAGCCGCGGUAAUACGAAGGGGGCUAGCGUUGCUCGGAAUUACUGGGCGUAAAGCGCACGUAGGCGGACUCUUAAGUCGGUGGUGAAAUCCUGGAGCUCAACUGUAGAACUGCCUUUGAUACUUUUAUUCUUGAGUUCGGGAGAGAGAGACGGAACUCCAGGUAUAGUGGUGAAAUACGUAGAUAUCUGGAAGAACACCAGUUGCGAAGGCGGUCUCUUGGUCCGACACUGACGCUGAGGCGCGAAAGCGUGGGGAGCAAACA